RNAcentral lists this transfer RNA (91 nucleotides) under Drosophila busckii. It matches the Rfam family "tRNA". From Rfam's summary of the family: Transfer RNA (tRNA) molecules are approximately 80 nucleotides in length. Their secondary structure includes four short double-helical elements and three loops (D, anti-codon, and T loops). Further hydrogen bonds mediate the characteristic L-shaped molecular structure. tRNAs have two regions of fundamental functional importance: the anti-codon, which is responsible for specific mRNA codon recognition, and the 3' end, to which the tRNAs corresponding amino acid is attached (by aminoacyl-tRNA synthetases). tRNAs cope with the degeneracy of the genetic code in two manners: having more than one tRNA (with a specific anti-codon) for a particular amino acid; and 'wobble' base-pairing, i.e. permitting non-standard base-pairing at the 3rd anti-codon position. The record is from Rfam by way of RNAcentral. Lineage: Eukaryota; Metazoa; Arthropoda; Insecta; Diptera; Drosophilidae.
CCUUCGAUAGCUCAGUUGGUAGAGCGGUGGACUGUAGCGAGUUUACAUUGUAGAUAUCCAUAGGUCGCUGGUUCAAAUCCGGCUCGAAGGA